Non-coding RNA from Triticum aestivum (bread wheat), 125 nucleotides. The record is from Rfam. Lineage: Eukaryota; Viridiplantae; Streptophyta; Magnoliopsida; Poales; Poaceae.
AUCAUACUCCCUCCAUCCGGAAUUAUUUGUCGCAUAAACGGAUGAAAAUGGAUGUAUCUAGAAUUAAAAUACAUCUAGAUACAUUUAUUUUUCCGACAAGUAUUUCCGGACGGAGGGAGUAGAAA